This 253-nucleotide ribosomal RNA is filed under the name uncultured bacterium. Its description in RNAcentral is "partial 16S ribosomal RNA". It matches the Rfam family "Bacterial small subunit ribosomal RNA", at positions 524 to 776 of the family's 1533-position model. The record is from RNAcentral.
UACGUAGGGGGCAAGCGUUGUCCGGAAUCAUUGGGCGUAAAGCGCGUGUAGGCGGUUCGAUAAGUCUGCUGUGAAAGUCCAGGGCUCAACCCUGGAAAGCCGGUGGAUACUGUCGGACUAGAGUACGGAAGAGGCGAGUGGAAUUCCCGGUGUAGCGGUGAAAUGCGCAGAUAUCGGGAGGAACACCAAUGGCGAAGGCAGCUCACUGGGACGGUAUUGACGCUGAGACGCGAAAGCGUGGGGAGCAAACAGG